GACGAACGCUGGCGGCGUGCUUAACACAUGCAAGUCGAGCGAUGAAAGCCUUAUGAACUAUUCGUAGUGAUUGGGGCCGGAUUAGCGGCGGACGGGUGAGUAACGCGUGAGCAACCUGCCUUAAACAACGGGAUAGCCUCGGGAAACCGGGAUUAAUACCGUAUGAGACCCCGCCUUCACAUGAAGAAGAGGUUACAGAUUAUCGGUUUAAGAUGUGCUCGCGUCUGAUUAGCUAGUUGGGGAGAUAAAAGCCCACCAAGGCAACGAUCAGUAGCCGGCUUGAUAGAAUGCACGGUCUCAUUGGAACUUGGACACGGACCAAACUCCUACGGGAGGCAGCAGUGGGGAAUAUUGCACAAUGGGGGAAACCCUGAUGCAGCGCGGCCGCGUGAGCGAUGAAGGAAUUCGUUUCGUAAAGCUCUGUCCAAGGGGAAGAUAAUGACAGUACCCUUGGAGGAAGCCCCGGAUAAAUACGUGCCAGCAGCCGCCGUAA
RNAcentral lists this ribosomal RNA (493 nucleotides) under uncultured bacterium. Its description in RNAcentral is "partial 16S ribosomal RNA". It matches the Rfam family "Bacterial small subunit ribosomal RNA", at positions 28 to 523 of the family's 1533-position model. The record is from RNAcentral.